CUUUGUGCAUCUGGCUUCACAUGGGUGCUGGGGAUAUGAACCCAAGCUGUCAGGCUUUACAGAUAAAUAAAUAUUUUUAAUAAUUCAUUAAAGAACAUUAAAGAAUAAACAUUCGGGGAUGAAGAUGUAGCUUGGCUGAUGUAGCCCAACAGAGACCGAGAAAACUUCAAUCUGAACCACAGGAGGAAAAACUUUACUUCGGAGCUGAGAGGAAGCAUCAGAUCUGGGUUGGGAUGCACAAGAAUGGCCACUUGAAGGAGAAAUAUCAAAGGGUUUUCUGAAGAAUAAGGAACCAUGAAUCAGGCAAACAUGGACAAAAAGGAAAAGAAAGUCUGUGGAUCAGUCUACAGAAUGUAAAGAGACCAGUGGUUCCUCAGCACAGGAGUAGGAAGGGUGGGGUAUGGGUAAGUGGGCAGGCUGAAGAAGGCACAUCAGGAAAUGAUGCAGGGACAACUCACAGGAAUGUGCCCCAUGCUGGGAAAUUUUGAAUGAGAGUCAUUUCUUGAAACACUACCCAGCUGAAAGGACUGCCUGUCAAGAAGAUACCCAACCUGCUCCUGGUAAUUCGCAAGCAACUGGCUGGAUGUACAAAAAGGAGGAAGAGAAAAGUCUAGACCAAAACUUUUUGGGAAACAAGGGAAACAAGACAUGGUGAAGUGUAUGCAAUUGCUAGUUUGAAUAAUGCUGACAAUAUGUAUGAUCUCUAGUGAGUGUGAGUACAAGGUCUAAGAAUAUUGAGG
Long non-coding RNA from Jaculus jaculus (lesser Egyptian jerboa), 740 nucleotides. RefSeq lists it as uncharacterized. The record is from RefSeq and is a predicted model, not a curated record. NCBI's taxonomy places the organism in Eukaryota, Metazoa, Chordata, Mammalia, Rodentia, Dipodidae. The transcript has 3 exons.